Molecule: ribosomal RNA, 460 nt
Filed under: uncultured bacterium
Lineage: Bacteria
Description: partial 16S ribosomal RNA
Rfam family: Bacterial small subunit ribosomal RNA
Source: RNAcentral
CCUACGGGUGGCAGCAGUGAGGAAUAUUGGUCAAUGGACGCAAGUCUGAACCAGCCAUGCCGCGUGCAGGAAGACGGCUCUAUGAGUUGUAAACUGCUUUUGUACGAGGGUAAACGCAGAUACGCGUAUCUGUCUGAAAGUAUCGUACGAAUAAGGAUCGGCUAACUCCGUGCCAGCAGCCGCGGUAAUACGGAGGAUUCAAGCGUUAUCCGGAUUUAUUGGGUUUAAAGGGUGCGUAGGCGGUCGGAUAAGUUAGAGGUGAAAUCCCGAGGCUCAACUUCGGAAUUGCCUCUGAUACUGUUCGGCGAGAGAGUAGUUGCGGUAGGCGGAAUGUAUGGUGUAGCGGUGAAAUGCUUAGAGAUCAUACAGAACACCGAUUGCGAAGGCAGCUUACCAAGCUACUUCUGACGUUGAGGCACGAAAGCGUGGGGAGCAAACAGGAUUAGAUACCCGAAUAGUC